This 294-nucleotide unclassified non-coding RNA is filed under the name uncultured fungus. Its description in RNAcentral is "sequence contains ITS1". Lineage: Eukaryota; Fungi. The record is from RNAcentral.
GUGGACUACCAGGGUAUCUAAUCCUGUUUGCUCCCCACGCUUUCGCGCCUCAGCGUCAGUCUCGAACCAGGUCGCCGCCUUCGCCGCCGGUGUUCCUCCCGAUAUCUACGAAUUUCACCUCUACACCGGGAAUUCCGCGACCCUCUUUCGUACUCUAGCCAUUCAGUCUCGGAUGCACUUCCUCAGUUAAGCCGAGGGCUUUCACAUCCGACUUAAGCGACCGCCUACGCGCGCUUUACGCCCAAUAAUUCCGAGCAACGUUUGCACCCCACGUAUUACCGCGGCUGCUGACAC